This 1068-nucleotide ribosomal RNA is filed under the name Microbotryum major. RNAcentral describes it as "eukaryotic LSU rRNA". The stretch from base 644 to 1068 matches the Rfam family "Eukaryotic large subunit ribosomal RNA", at positions 1 to 425 of the family's 3401-position model. Lineage: Eukaryota; Fungi; Basidiomycota; Microbotryomycetes; Microbotryales; Microbotryaceae. The record is from RNAcentral.
AAAGUCGUAACAAGGUUUCCGUAGGUGAACCUGCGGAAGGAUCAUUAGUGAAUUUAUAGCGUACCUGUUUAACCAGGGCGUGACCUCACUUUUUCAAACUCUGUGCACUUCUAAUGGGGGGGCCAAGGAAAGGCGAUUAGCUUCGCCUGGAAUUCGUGCCCGCUCGUUUUAUUAAACAUUUAAAGUCAAUGGUAUGGGAAAAAGAAAUGAUACAUAACAAAAAAAACUUUCAACAACGGAUCUCUUGGCUCUCGCAUCGAUGAAGAACGCAGCGAAAUGUGAUAAGUAAUGUGAAUUGCAGAAUUCAGUGAAUCAUCGAAUCUUUGAACGCAUCUUGCGCUCGCUGGUAUUCCGGCGAGCAUGUCUGUUUGAGUGUCGUGAACUCUUCAACCCCCCCUUUUUCUUAUGGAGAUUGGGGUGCGGCUUGGUUUCUGAAUGGUUGCUGGACUUGGUUUCCUUUCGGGGAUUCUAAAGUCGAAGCUCGUUCGUAAUGCAUUAGCAUCCUAACCUUCGAGAUCAGAUUGACUCGGCGUAAUAGACUAUUCGCUGAGGACAUGGCGUCCCUUUACUGGGGUGUCAUGGCUGGCCUUGGAAAAAAGAAAGCUUAUAAACCCCCGACUAUUAGUCAGAUCAAUUUAAGAUUAGACCUCAGAUCAGGCAGGAUUACCCGCUGAACUUAAGCAUAUCAAUAAGCGGAGGAAAAGAAACUAACAAGGAUUCCCCUAGUAACGGCGAGUGAAGCGGGAAAAGCUCAAAUUUGUAAUCUGGCGCCUUGGGCGUCCGAGUUGUAAUCUCGAGAAGUAUUUUCCGCGCUGGACCGCACAUAAGUCUGUUGGAAUACAGCGUCAUAGUGGUGAGAACCCCGUAUAGGGUGCGGAUGCCCAGUGCUUUGUGAUAUACUUUCGAAGAGUCNAGUUGUUUGGGAAUGCAGCUCAAAUUGGGUGGUAAAUUCCAUCUAAAGCUAAAUAUUGGCGAGAGACCGAUAGCGAACAAGUACCGUGAGGGAAAGAUGAAAGCACUUUGGAAAGAGAGUAACAGUACGUGAAAUUGUUGGAAGGGAACGCUUGA